UGGAAGAGGAUAUGAUCCCCAUUU
RNAcentral lists this non-coding RNA (24 nucleotides) under Mus musculus (house mouse). The record is from RNAcentral. Lineage: Eukaryota; Metazoa; Chordata; Mammalia; Rodentia; Muridae.